Molecule: transfer RNA, 84 nt
Filed under: Streptomyces lavendulae subsp. lavendulae
Lineage: Bacteria; Bacillati; Actinomycetota; Actinomycetes; Kitasatosporales; Streptomycetaceae
Description: tRNA-Glu
Source: RNAcentral
ACGAGUACCUGGCCGACUACGAGCAGCGGCGCGGCCCUCUCUCGGCCGAAUCCCAUGAACUGGAUCCUCUCCGGUGUGCGCGUG